Molecule: ribosomal RNA, 206 nt
Filed under: uncultured bacterium
Lineage: Bacteria
Description: partial 16S ribosomal RNA
Rfam family: Bacterial small subunit ribosomal RNA
Source: RNAcentral
UGCGUAGGCGGCUUUCUAAGUUGGAUGUGAAAACUCUGGGCUCAACCCAGAGACUGCAUCCAAAACUGGAGAGCUUGGGUUCUGGAGGGGAAAGCGGAAUUCCUGGUGUAGCGGUGAAAUGCGUAGAUAUCAGGAGGAACACCGGUGGCGAAGGCGGCUUUCUGGACAGAUACCGACGCUGAGGCACGAAAGCUAGGGAGCAAACA